AACUGAUACUACCUGCGGGAACCUGCGGAAGGAUCAUUACCGAGUUUACAACUCCCAAACCCAUGUGAACAUACCUGUCUUGUUGCUUCGGCGGCGCCCACGGCCCUCACGGGCUUGGGGCCCGCCAGAGGACCCAAACAAAACUCUUUGCAUUUUGAAUACAGUAUUCUGAGUGACAUGAUUAAAUAAAAUCAAAACUUUCAGCAACGGAUCUCU
RNAcentral lists this unclassified non-coding RNA (216 nucleotides) under soil metagenome. Its description in RNAcentral is "partial contains 5.8S ribosomal RNA, internal transcribed spacer 2, and large subunit ribosomal RNA". The record is from RNAcentral.